Molecule: ribosomal RNA, 360 nt
Filed under: Triticum aestivum (bread wheat)
Lineage: Eukaryota; Viridiplantae; Streptophyta; Magnoliopsida; Poales; Poaceae
Description: partial small subunit ribosomal RNA
Source: RNAcentral
AUGCAAUGGAAGCCGAACUCUGUGCUUUUGCAACGAUCAGUUCUUCCUAUUCUGCUAGAGGUGGAUUUAGUCUCAGCGGUGAACAUUCUCAAGGAUGAAGUUUUUGACAGAUUGCUGCUUGCUUCUUUGGCGGCAGAGAUUAAAUAUUUGCUUUCCCUUUGUAAAACUUGUAUUAUUACUCAUAUUAAGCGUAGCCAAAAUGUUGUUGGUGAUUUCUUGGUGAACUUUGCUACAACUGAGAAUAGAGCUGUUGUUUGGUUGGGCUCAGGGCAAGCAGAUGUAGUACAAAAUGCACCAUUUGUAUCUUGGUUUUGUCCAUGUGCCAACAAACAACCUUUACACCAAUUUUUGGACCCUUAA